RNAcentral lists this ribosomal RNA (253 nucleotides) under uncultured bacterium. Its description in RNAcentral is "partial 16S ribosomal RNA". It matches the Rfam family "Bacterial small subunit ribosomal RNA", at positions 524 to 776 of the family's 1533-position model. The record is from RNAcentral.
UACGGAGGGUGCGAGCGUUAAUCGGAAUUACUGGGCGUAAAGCGUGCGUAGGCGGCAGCUUAAGUUGGAUGUGAAAGCCCUGGGCUCAACCUAGGAACUGCAUCCAAAACUGGGCAGCUAGAGUAUGGGAGAGGAGUGUGGAAUUUCCUGUGUAGCGGUGAAAUGCGUAGAGAUCGGAAGGAACACCAGUGGCGAAGGCGACUCCCUGGAUUGAUACUGACACUGAGGUGCGAAAGCGUGGGGAGCAAACAGG